GAUGAACGCCGGCGGCGUGCCUAAUACAUGCAAGUCGAGCGAACGGACGAGAAGCUUGCUUCUCUGAUGUUAGCGGCGGACGGGUGUGUAACACGUGGAUAACCUACCUAUAAGACUGGGAUAACUUCGGGAAACCGGAGCUAAUACCGGAUGAUAUUUUGAACCGCAUGGUUCAAAAGUGAAAGACGGUCUUGCUGUCACUUAUAGAUGGAUCCGCGCUGCAUUAGCUAGUUGGUAAGGUAACGGCUUACCAAGGCAACGAUGCAUAGCCGACCUGAGAGGGUGAUCGGCCACACUGGAACUGAGACACGGUCCAGACUCCUACGGGAGGCAGCAGUAGGGAAUCUUCCGCAAUGGGCGAAAGCCUGACGGAGCAACGCCGCGUGAGUGAUGAAGGUCUUCGGAUCGUAAAACUCUGUUAUUAGGGAAGAACAUAUGUGUAAGUAACUGUGCACAUCUUGACGGUACCUAAUCAGAAAGCCACGGCUAACUACGUG
RNAcentral lists this ribosomal RNA (497 nucleotides) under uncultured bacterium. Its description in RNAcentral is "partial 16S ribosomal RNA". It matches the Rfam family "Bacterial small subunit ribosomal RNA", at positions 28 to 507 of the family's 1533-position model. The record is from RNAcentral.